GCGCAUGUGGUGAAACUGGUAGACACGCCAUCUUGAGGGGGUGGUGCCCGUACGGGCGUGGAAGUUCGAAUCUUCUCAUGCGCACAA
This 87-nucleotide transfer RNA is filed under the name Nitritalea halalkaliphila LW7. RNAcentral describes it as "tRNA-Leu". It matches the Rfam family "tRNA". From Rfam's summary of the family: Transfer RNA (tRNA) molecules are approximately 80 nucleotides in length. Their secondary structure includes four short double-helical elements and three loops (D, anti-codon, and T loops). Further hydrogen bonds mediate the characteristic L-shaped molecular structure. tRNAs have two regions of fundamental functional importance: the anti-codon, which is responsible for specific mRNA codon recognition, and the 3' end, to which the tRNAs corresponding amino acid is attached (by aminoacyl-tRNA synthetases). tRNAs cope with the degeneracy of the genetic code in two manners: having more than one tRNA (with a specific anti-codon) for a particular amino acid; and 'wobble' base-pairing, i.e. permitting non-standard base-pairing at the 3rd anti-codon position. The record is from RNAcentral. Lineage: Bacteria; Pseudomonadati; Bacteroidota; Cytophagia; Cytophagales; Cyclobacteriaceae.